CUCAGUAUCUUCCCCACGGAUAAAGCAUUUGGAUAGAAAAAUAAUCUUUUUUAAUUGCAAGAGUGGAUGAUCUUUCCCAUAACAGUAUAGAUUAUGCGCCAAACCAUAGGGAUAAACAUUUUAUAAAUCAUAUCAAUACUCAGCUCUUGCCACAUUCGGAAACAAUGCAAUAACAGAAGCAUUUCUCCAUAAAGAAAAAAUAAGAAUUAUUUGUAAACAGCUUCUCUAAGCAAGCACAUUUUUCAUAAAUCCGAUUGUCAAACAUCACAAAUGUUUGUCUCCAAGGCAACUUAGCUUUCUUAGCUAACUUUCGUCUUCUUGGCUGUAAUCCAUCAUGUCAAGCUUUCAUCUCCACGUCUCCAAUCCAGCCUCUGCCUCAUUAUAGCUAAUGCACUUCAAUUCAUCCCAAAAUCUCACUAUUCAUUAUGAAUAGACACCUUUCUAAUUGUCAGAAUACCGAAACAAUUUAUUGGAUCCUUUCAAUUUAUCUUUCAAGACUUUAAAUGCUUGCCAAGACAAAACUUAGAGAAAAAACAGAGAAAAUACUUCACCAAUCAACACGUGAAAAAAAUACAACUCAAGAUAAAUUAGAGGAGGACCUGCAAGGGCGUCGCUUCACCAUUGUCUUCUGAAAUACUGCCCAUAAGCAUCCCCAUUUAGUAUUAAUUCCAACGCUCGUUACACAAAAGAAAGAAAAUAUCGUGGGCAAUCUGAACUCUAAUUAAGCGAACGACAUGUGCGUAUGUCCAUGCAUAUGAGAAACAGCAGUUACUUUCUCAAGCUCAGUAAACACUUCACAAUAUGCAAUUACGAGAAAUAUCUUCAACACUAGUAUGUGCAGCUAAAGCUACAUCAAACAAAUAGGCUGCCUGAGGAAAAUUGUUAAGUUACUUUAAUUGAGUUUUCUUUAUUAUCAGAGUUUUAUUUCCUUUUUUACUUACAUAAGGAUAUUAUUGUUAUAUACAAUUUAUAUUCAAUAUAAAUACAAUGGGUGUAGGGUUUCUGUGAUUACAGAAAACUACAGCCCUCUCUUUCUUUCUUUUACGUUCUCUUUCUCCUCCUUCUCUCUUCCUUCUUUCUCUCUUUCUACUUGCUGCGGGUUCUCUAAUCAGUUUUGUGACAUGGUAUCAAAGCGGGUCUAACUAUUUGAUUACUUAAUCAUAUUGAUAUCACCCUGUAGCAUAUUCAAGAGAAUAUAGCUGAAGGGACCAUCUAAUACUUGACUUGGAGCUUAACUAUAUUUCCAUACUCCCACUGGGGUUGAACUAAACAGGUUGCCAAAUUCUAUUGUUUUGAACUCUCCAUAUCAUAAGUCCUAAAUCUUUUCAUUAACAUAAUAAAGGACAUUGAGAUGCAAAAAUGUAUGGGAACAUCUUAAAAGACAAUUCACAAAUCGUCAUUUAAUCAAUAGGACUAAAUUUCGCGCCACCAUAUCAAGAUAAUUAGUAAGUUACAACUUCAAAUAGAGUGGAAGGGCAUGCCAGUAUUGCUUUUAUCUAGAUAAAAUGGAUAUGUUUGUUGUGCAUCUCAAGAAUUGGCAGUCAACAACGAGGGAACAUAAUGGGGGACAUUUACGAGAGGCAAGUAACGGGAGCAACGGGACUUAAGCCAAUCCACUUUAUAUAAUUGUGUAUCCACUUUAUAUAUGUUUGUUGUGCAUCUCAAGAAUUGGCAGUCAACAACGAGGGAACAUAAUGGGGGACAUUUACGAGAGGCAAGUAACGGGAGCAACGGGACUUAAGCCAAUCCACUUUAUAUAAUUGUGUAUUCAUUAUGCACUUUAACAACUACAUGAGACUCCAAAGACGUCACAGGAGUGACUUAUUACGCCCAAGAAGAACUUAAACAAAAGAAUCUACGAAAGAAUUAAUUUUACCGGCACGUUACCACUACCAUGAGCAACUUUGCAUCCAGACUUUAGAUAAUGAUGCCUCGAAUCUUUAUGAACCUUAAAAAAAAAAAAAAAAAAAAUGACUUACUAGUCAAAUUGCAUGAUAUAACACUCAGAAAAACCAGCAGUAAGCCAUACAAUUUUGCUCUCUCCAGUCAUGCUAGAUUCAUCGAUUGCAAGAGAAUGACCAUGACCAGAAACCAAAACUCCAUCAGCGGGUACCUAAGGAUGAUCGAGUGGAAAUCAGGUCGCAUAACUACCAAACAGCGUGUAGAAAUCUCAAAAGAUGAAGCAGCUUACCUGAUCGCCA
This 2201-nucleotide long non-coding RNA is filed under the name Eucalyptus grandis. RNAcentral's name for it is "long non-coding RNA (EGRA_LNC005527)". The record is from RNAcentral. Lineage: Eukaryota; Viridiplantae; Streptophyta; Magnoliopsida; Myrtales; Myrtaceae.